CAUUGCAUUGCAUUGCUUUGCACGGAGCUCCAUUGCAUUGCGUUGCACUGACACUCCAUUGCUUUGCUUUGCAUUGCUUUGCUUUGCUUUGCUUUGCAUUGCUUUGCAUUGCACUGACACUCCAUUGCUUUGCAUUGCUUUGCUUUGCUUUGCUUUGCAUUGCUUUGCAUUGCACUGACACUGCAUUGCUUUGCUUUGCUUUGCAUUGCUUUGCACGGAGCUCCGUUGCAUUGCAUUGCACUGACACUCCGUUGCUUUGCUUUACUUUGCUUUGCAUGGAGCUCUGUUGCUUUGCAUGCAUUGCAUUGCAUUUCACUGACACUCAUUGCUUUGCAUUGCUUUGCAUUGCAUUGCAUUGCAUUGCACGGAGCUCCAUUGCUUUGCACUGCAUUGCCUUGCUUUGCUCUGCAUUGCAUUGACACUCCGUUGCUUUGCUUUGCUUUGCUUUUCACGCGGCUCCGUUGCUUUGCAUUGCUUUGCUUUGCUUUGCUUUGCUUUGCAUUGCAUUGCUUUGCACGGAGCUCCGUUGCAUUGCAUUGCACUGGCACUGCUUUGCUUUGCUUUGCUUUGCUUUGCACAGAGCUCCGUUGCUUUGCAUUGCUUUGCAUUGCUUUGCAUUGCUUUGCAUUGCUUUGCAUUGCUUUGCAUUGCACUGCACAGACCCCCAUUGCAUUUCAUGGGCCUCCAUUGCAUUGCAUUGCACUGCACGGAGCUGCAUUGCUCUGCUUUGCUCUGCAUUGCUCUGACACUCCAUUGUAUUGCAUUGCACGGAGCUCUGUUGCUUUGCUUUGCAUUGCACUGGCACUCCAUUGUUUCACAUUGCUUUGCUUUGCAUUGCAUUGCAGGGAGCUCCAUUGCUUUGCCUUGCCUUGCAUUGCACUGACACUGCGUUGCUUUGCAUUGCUUUGCAUUGCUUUGCAUUGCUUUGCAUUGCUUUGCAUUGCACUGAGCAACAUUGCAUUGCAUUGCACUGCACGGAGCUGCAUUGCUCUGCUUUGCAUUGCGUUGCUCUGACACUUCAUUGCAUUGCGCUGCACGGACUUCCAUUACUUUGCAUUGCAUUGCAUUGCACGGACCUUCAUUGCUUUGCAUGGCGUUGCACGGAGCUGCGUUGCUUUGCACAGCUUUGCUUUGCGUUGCAUUGCACUGACACUGCAUUGCUUUGCUUUGCUUUGCUGCACUUUGUGUUGCACUGACGCUUUGUUGCUUUGCACAGAGCUCCUUUGCAUUGCAUUGCUUUGCUUUGCUUUGCUUUGCAUUGCAUUGCAUAGAGCUCCAUUGCUUUGCUUUGCAUUGCGUUGCAUUGCACUGACACUGCUUUGCUUUGCUUUGCUUCACUUUGCGUUGCACUGAAACUUUGUUGCUUUGCACAGAGCUCCUUUGCAUUGCAUUGCAUUGCUUUGCAUUGCGUUGCAUUGCGUUGCAUUGCACUGACACUGCUUUGCUUUGCUUUGCUUUGCUUUGCUUUGCACCGAGCUCCAUCGCAUUGCACUGCUCUGCAUUGCUUUUGCUCUCCGUUGCUUUUGCUCUCCGUUUCUUUUGCUCUGCAUUGCUUUUGCUCUGCAUUGCAUGGCUUUGCUUUGCACUGCUUUGUAUUGCACUGCAUUGCACUGCUCUGCUUUGCAUUGCUCAUUGCUUUGCUUUGCAUUGCUCUGCUUUGCUCUGCAUUGCAUUGCAUUGCAUUGCUUUGCUUUGCUUUGCUUUGCACUGCUUUGCUCUGCAUUGCAUUGCUUUGCUUUGCUUUGCACUGCUUUGCUUUGCACUGCUUUGCUCUGCAUUGCUUUUGCUUUGCUUUGCACUGCACUGCUCUGCUUUGCUCUGCUUUGCUUUGCAUUGCAUUGCAUUGCAUUGCUUUGCUUUGCUUUGCACUGCUUUGCACUGCACUGCUCUGCUCUGCUUUGCUUUGCACUGCACUGCUCUGCUUUGCUCUGCUUUGCUUUGCUUUGCACUGCACACUGUUGCCCCCCCCCGCCCCCCCAGUGCAUUUUAUUGGG
Molecule: long non-coding RNA, 1994 nt
Filed under: Phasianus colchicus (ring-necked pheasant)
Lineage: Eukaryota; Metazoa; Chordata; Aves; Galliformes; Phasianidae
Description: lncRNA (ENSPCLG00000019113.1)
Source: RNAcentral